RNAcentral lists this long non-coding RNA (1457 nucleotides) under Homo sapiens (human). RNAcentral describes it as "HSALNT0299607". Lineage: Eukaryota; Metazoa; Chordata; Mammalia; Primates; Hominidae. The record is from RNAcentral.
CUCUGGGUUCCAGGGUGCUCACUGGGUGGUUCCCCCAGUGCCCCGCUCCUACAGUGACUGCAGCCAGCAGCACCCAGGAGACGGAACCUCCCCGCCCAGCCCGGCGCCCGCCAGCCCUGGUGCCGUUUUUAUAGCAGCAUGCCUCUAGCAAUCAAGACACCUGGCACCUCGGAGGGCCGACUUCCAGAAGGAUUUGCCACAGGGCACCACAACAACUUCUCUGCCAUUCAGAGUCACAGCUGCACAGGUCUGGAUCUCCGCCUGGGGCCGGCGUGGGGGCUCUCUCAGUCCUGGGGCUGGUUCACUGGAGUUUUCUUUCUUUGUUACUAGCCAGCCCCUCAUGGCUGUAAUCCCUUGCUCUAGUAAAUAAUUCUUUAUAUUGAAUUUUCUCUGUUCAAAUUACUACGUGAUUUCUCUCUCCGGACUGGACUCAGACUGAUACAAGUAUGGACCCCCUAGAAGGAACAACAAAUGGAGCUGCCGUCUAUAUACACACGUCGAUUUAGGUCUCUGUCUCUGGCAACUGAAAAGAGACCCAACAAAACAUCUUACAGAGCACCAGGGCCAAUUCUUGAUGCGUCGUUAGAUUCUGUGUAGCCAGAAAGCAGAAACAGAAACAUAUCCAAGCCAGGCGGAGGAAAAACUUUGAGGCCUGUUUAUCCAGGUUCAAGACAAUUUCUAUUUAAAAAAAAAAAAAAGAAAAAAAGAGAGAAAAAAAAAGCUCAUAACAGAAUAAGUUCAGCUUCUCCUGAGUGUCAGAGCUAAGAUCUAACGCCUCUGCUGGUUUCCAUGACAACCACCAGCAGCUACAAUCAUGCCGAACCAAGAACCAGAGGAUUCAGUAACUUUACCUUGAUUCUGUGGCCAGAUUAUUGCCAAUUUUAAAAGGAAAUGCAUAGUGAGCCCCUGUCUCUGUUGUGUCUUCAGUUGUCCCUUGAAAUCUGGAUAUCUUGACAAGAGGCCAGGGCCUAUCCUAUCUCAUCUCCCCAAGCUAGUGUCCUUCCCAGAUGAAUUUCUUCUGGCGCUGGCUCUGUGGCAGGCUCAUGUCGUUUUUUCCCCAAAGAAGAGAUUCCAGAGACGAGGCCUUCACUGAGAGCUUGCUCCUCUACCUCCUGUGGGUUUCAGGGCUGGGACGGGGGACACAGAGAAUCUGUCUCUCGCGAAUGCCAAGUUGAGGUCCUAGCCUGGCUAGGAACUCUUGCAUUCCCCUUGCCUCGCUGUAGCCUCCCCUGGGAACAGACCUUCCAGGAGGGUCGCACCGAGUGAUGAGACUGUUGCAUGAGGCUCUGCAGUGCUUGGACACAGAACUGCACUGCGGCCUUCCAGAUGCUCAGCUGGAAAACCCCUGAGAACCUGAGGCUUUUCUACAGCACAUUAGAGCUUAUGACUGGAGAGUGUCUACCGCCUGAGGGCAGGGAUGAGAUUUUACCUAUCCUAUUCACCUGCUUAGGUGCCCA